UGUUGUUGACCACCGGUCCGAGUCUCCGACCGCCGGAGAUUUCCUCCAUCUCUCUCUCUCUCUCGGUCUCUCGUCGCCGCCAACCUCCUGCAACCAGAUGUUUUGACCGGAAAUAUGAACGGAUCUACAAAGAUCCUCAAGAAAAGAUGAAGAAGACGGUUUGUAGGUUCUUACCGGAGAGAAACCUCACACGUUGCGACUGUUGUACAUCAGAUCUGCCAUUAUCGCGCCUCAGAUCAAGAAACCGACACUAGAAAUGAGUUCAGAAGGUGUGGUUUAGGGGGGUACGCGCCGAAAAUCGGUCGUCGGAGCUCCGCCGCCGGCGGUGGCGCCGGAAAGGGUGAACGAGAGAGAGAGAUUCAGAUGUGUGUGUUUGGUCUGUUUGUGCACUUCAGAUUCUUAAAAGGAUGACCGGCAGCCGGCCGGAGGCACUGGAUGACCGGCAGCCGGCGAUGGUGGAGGGUGGAGGAGGGUGAUGGUGGGUGGAGGUUGAAGAUGAAGUGUGCUUUCUGACCCCUUCAGUGGUGCCAUUACUCACUUGUUGAUACAAAAGCUCGUCCUUUGAUUGCUGUAAACCCAUUUUUUACAACAAUUUAUAAAAUUAGGGUUUUUGUAGUGAUGAAAUUGAAAUUAGGGCUUGAUUUCUGUGGGUUUUCUAGGUGAGUUGGAUUAUACUUUUCUGCAAGAAUAUUGUAUAUGAAUUGUGUAAUUUUCGUGGCGAAUAGUCAGUCAAUCCUUCUUCCGCGUAACGUAUCUGUGUCACCGAUGAGAAUUUGGUCAAGACGGUUGGGGUUUUUCGUGUUGAUUUAUGCU
This 813-nucleotide long non-coding RNA is filed under the name Helianthus annuus (common sunflower). RNAcentral's name for it is "hypothetical non coding rna". Lineage: Eukaryota; Viridiplantae; Streptophyta; Magnoliopsida; Asterales; Asteraceae. The record is from RNAcentral.